AGCAGCCGCGGUAAUUCCAGCUCCAAUAGCGUAUAUUAAAGUUGUUGCAGUUAAAAAGCUCGUAGUUGAAUUUUGGAUUCUUCCAAUUGGUCCAUCUUUUAGAUGAGUACUGGUUGUGUGGGGUCUAUCCGCCUGGUGAUACGUAAUGUCCUUUAUUGGAUGUUGCGGGUAGUCAGGACCUUUACCUUGAAAAAUUAGAGUGUUUAAAGCAGGCUUAUGCCGGAAUACAUUAGCAUGGAAUAAUAGAAUAGGACGAAGUUGUUUUAUUUGUUGGUUUCUAGGACAACCGUAAUGGUUAAUAGGGAUAGUUGGGGGCAUUAGUAUUCAAUUGUCAGAGGUGAAAUUCUUGGAUUUAUUGAAGACUAACUACUGCGAAAGCAUUUGCCAAGGAUGUUUUCAUUAAUCAAGAACGAAAGUUAGGGGAUCGAAGACGAUCAGAUACCGUCGUAGUCUUAACCAUAAACUAUGCCGAUUAGGGAUCGGGCGAUGUUGUUUCCAUGACUCG
This 505-nucleotide ribosomal RNA is filed under the name uncultured Archaeosporaceae. RNAcentral describes it as "SSU rRNA". It matches the Rfam family "Eukaryotic small subunit ribosomal RNA", at positions 569 to 1078 of the family's 1831-position model. The record is from RNAcentral. Lineage: Eukaryota; Fungi; Glomeromycota; Glomeromycetes; Archaeosporales; Archaeosporaceae.